This 25-nucleotide unclassified non-coding RNA is filed under the name Mus musculus (house mouse). RNAcentral's name for it is "oocyte_clustered_small_RNA6300". Lineage: Eukaryota; Metazoa; Chordata; Mammalia; Rodentia; Muridae. The record is from RNAcentral.
UCAGACAGACUCUUCUCAUGGAUCC